This is a long non-coding RNA of Ruditapes philippinarum (Manila clam), 947 nucleotides long. RefSeq lists it as uncharacterized. The transcript is spliced from 3 exons. The record is from RefSeq and is a predicted model, not a curated record. Lineage: Eukaryota; Metazoa; Mollusca; Bivalvia; Venerida; Veneridae.
AUUUAAAACGAGAAAUUCAUCAUUUCUGGUUCACAUGUUGGUCGGACACUGGUCCACCAGAACCAUUAACGUUUGUCAAGUUUGUGUUAGAUACAAGACCACAUUACGAGAACAGCGGAUCUCCGGCACUCGUGCAUUGUGGUCCUGGUACAGGUCGCACAGGUACGUUUAUUGCUGUAGAUAUUUGUAUGAGAAUGUUUGAAGAUCGUAGAAGAGUUGACAUUCAAAGCUGUGUACAUAAACUGAGGGGUGAGAGAGCAGGGGCCGUGCAAACAAAAGAACAGUACUUCCUUAUAUAUCAGGCAUUAAACGAAUAUGCAGUGAUUUUAAGUAGUCCAUCAAUAUCAACAAGAUCGUCUGUUAUAACACUCCAUGCCAUGCUGUGAUCUGAACAUGUUUGUAGAGCCAGUGUUAUCAUCAGUUUAUACGGCAGGUUAUCUGACUUGUUUUAAAAACCAUUGACCUUUAGUUCAUUGAACCGUCUUUGAAUAAUUAUUUUGGUAUGGUGUACCGAUAGUGCCAUUUUCUUCUCGUGGCGGGCGAAAAGGCAAGAGUUCGAAAACACGACAGAACGACAAAGUCAAAAUGUUUAUGUACUUUCGGCAUUUUAUUUGACGUACAUUCACUUUCAUUUUAUCUUUCACAUAUUCGUCCAAUCGAACGGAAAUGCAAUAAUUAGAAAACUCAACAGAUAGUGACUUUGUAGUGUUAUCGCUAUUCCGAGUGGCAUAAUUAUAAAUGGCUAAUACAAGCCACCAUAGUUUUGUAAAUUUUGACCGAUAACUUAUUACCUAGGAUAACGAUAUCAAAUGAAUUUAUUUUUUACUUUUUAAUGACUUUAUAAACAAAAAAUUAUUUGAUUGAUAACCAUGAAUGGUUCACAUCAUUAUUGUUUCACUUAAUAUAUAUGUUUUAACCUUCAUACUGCGUAGUUUAAAAUCAUUCAC